Long non-coding RNA from Melopsittacus undulatus (budgerigar), 355 nucleotides. RefSeq lists it as uncharacterized. The transcript is spliced from 3 exons. The record is from RefSeq and is a predicted model, not a curated record. NCBI's taxonomy places the organism in Eukaryota, Metazoa, Chordata, Aves, Psittaciformes, Psittaculidae.
AUAUCAUGGUCCUACUUCUCAUGCAAGUACACCACAUUCAGAAAUCACUCAUUCAGCAUUUCACUGGUAUGGAAACAAAACUGAAUCAAAACUAGGAGAGUUUUGAGAACAUAACAUCUUUACCAUCUUUCAGUAGUGAAAGAACAAAAGGUUUUGAUGGUUAGCACAUUGGUCUUAAAUUCCAGCAGGAGAAUGUGCUAGAUGAGAUGCUGAAAACAGAUGUACAACACCAGAUGAAAAAAUGCUGCUCCGUGUUGAAUUUCUGUGGACAGCUGGAGUGGAAAUGAGAGAGACUGGGAGAACAUCUGAGAGACAGCCAAGGCCAACCCACCAUUUUUACAAUGCAAAAAUAAAU